GCCCCCGUAGCUCAGUAGGAUAGAGCAACGGUUUCCUAAACCGCAGGUCGCAGGUUCGAAUCCUGCCGGGGGUACCA
RNAcentral lists this transfer RNA (77 nucleotides) under Candidatus Zixiibacteriota bacterium. Its description in RNAcentral is "candidate division Zixibacteria bacterium tRNA-Arg". It matches the Rfam family "tRNA". From Rfam's summary of the family: Transfer RNA (tRNA) molecules are approximately 80 nucleotides in length. Their secondary structure includes four short double-helical elements and three loops (D, anti-codon, and T loops). Lineage: Bacteria; Pseudomonadati; Candidatus Zixiibacteriota. The record is from RNAcentral.